GAGUAACACCCUGGGCAAUCUGCCCUGCACUCUGGGACAAGCCCUGGAAACGGGGUCUAAUACCGGAUAAUACUGUGCCCCUCAUGGGGGAUGGUUAAAAGCUCCGGCGGUGCAGGAUGAGCCCGCGGCCUAUCAGCUUGUUGGUGGGGUAAUGGCCUACCAAGGCGACGACGGGUAGCCGGCCUGAGAGGGCGACCGGCCACACUGGGACUGAGACACGGCCCAGACUCCUACGGGAGGCAGCAGUGGGGAAUAUUGCACAAUGGGCGAAAGCCUGAUGCAGCGACGCCGCGUGAGGGAUGACGGCCUUCGGGUUGUAAACCUCUUUCAGCAGGGAAGAAGCGAAAGUGACGGUACCUGCAGAAGAAGCGCCGGCUAACUACGUGCCAGCAGCCGCGGUAAUACGUAGGGCGCAAGCGUUGUCCGGAAUUAUUGGGCGUAAAGAGCUCGUAGGCGGUUUGUCACGUCGGGUGUGAAAGCCCGGGGCUUAACCCCGGGUCUGCAUUCGAUACGGGCAGACUAGAGUGUGGUAGGGGAGAUCGGAAUUCCUGGUGUAGCGGUGAAAUGCGCAGAUAUCAGGAGGAACACCGGUGGCGAAGGCGGAUCUCUGGGCCAUUACUGACGCUGAGGAGCGAAAGCGUGGGGAGCGAACAGGAUUAGAUACCCUGGUAGUCCACGCCGUAAACGUUGGGAACUAGGUGU
RNAcentral lists this ribosomal RNA (702 nucleotides) under Streptomyces sp. YIM 64712. Its description in RNAcentral is "bacterial SSU rRNA". It matches the Rfam family "Bacterial small subunit ribosomal RNA", at positions 108 to 823 of the family's 1533-position model. The record is from RNAcentral. Lineage: Bacteria; Bacillati; Actinomycetota; Actinomycetes; Kitasatosporales; Streptomycetaceae.